GGGACGAACGCUGGCGGCGUGCUUAACACAUGCAAGUCGAGCGGUAAGGCCUUUCGGGGUACACGAGCGGCGAACGGGUGAGUAACACGUGGGUGAUCUGCCCUGCACUUCGGGAUAAGCCUGGGAAACUGGGUCUAAUACCGGAUAUGACCUCAGGUUGCAUGACUUGGGGUGGAAAGAUUUAUCGGUGCAGGAUGGGCCCGCGGCCUAUCAGCUUGUUGGUGGGGUAAUGGCCUACCGAAGGCGACGACGGGUAGCCGACCUGAGAGGGUGACCGGCCACGACUGGGACUGAGACACGGCCCAGACUCCUACGGGAGCAGCAGUGGGAUAUGCACAAUGGGCGAAAGCCUGAUGCAGGCGACGCCGCGUGAGGGAUGACGGUCCUUCGGGUU
RNAcentral lists this ribosomal RNA (394 nucleotides) under uncultured soil bacterium. Its description in RNAcentral is "bacterial SSU rRNA". It matches the Rfam family "Bacterial small subunit ribosomal RNA", at positions 27 to 424 of the family's 1533-position model. The record is from RNAcentral.